Molecule: ribosomal RNA, 492 nt
Filed under: uncultured bacterium
Lineage: Bacteria
Description: partial 16S ribosomal RNA
Rfam family: Bacterial small subunit ribosomal RNA
Source: RNAcentral
AGUGAACGCUGGCGGUAGGCCUAACACAUGCAAGUCGAACGGCAGCACAGUAAGAGCUUGCUCUUACGGGUGGCGAGUGGCGGACGGGUGAGGAAUACAUCGGAAUCUACUUUUUCGUGGGGGAUAACGUAGGGAAACUUACGCUAAUACCGCAUACGACCUACGGGUGAAAGCAGUGGAUCUUCGGACCUUGCGCGAUUGAAUGAGCCGAUGUCGGAUUAGCUAGUUGGCGGGGUAAAGGCCCACCAAGGCGACGAUCCGUAGCUGGUCUGAGAGGAUGAUCAGCCACACUGGAACUGAGACACGGUCCAGACUCCUACGGGAGGCAGCAGUGGGGAAUAUUGGACAAUGGGCGCAAGCCUGAUACAGCCAUACCGCGUGGGUGAAGAAGGCCUUCGGGUUGUAAAGCCCUUUUGUUGGGAAAGAAAAGCAGCAGGUUAAUACCCCGCUGUUCUGACGGUACCCAAAGAAUAAGCACCGGCUAACUUCGUG